UCGAGAAUCUUCGGCAAUGGGCGAAAGCCUGACGCAGCGACGCCGCGUGAGUGAUGAAGGCCUUCGGGUUGUAAAGCUCUGUGGGGAGAGAAGAAUAAGUGCGGGCUAAUACCCCGCAUGAUGACGGUAUCUCCUUAGCAAGCACCGGCUAACUCUGUGCCAGCAGCCGCGGUAAGACAGAGGGUGCAAACGUUGUUCGGAAUUACUGGGCGUAAAGCGAGUGUAGGCGGUUUGGUAAGUCGGAUGUGAAAGCCCCGGGCUCAACCCGGGAAGUGCAUUCGAUACUGCCAAGCUAGAGUAUCGGAGAGGUUGGUGGAAUUCUCGGUGUAGAGGUGAAAUUCGUAGAUAUCGAGAGGAACACCGGUGGCGAAGGCGGCCAACUGGACGAAUACUGACGCUGAGACUCGAAAGCGUGGGGAGCAAACAGGAUUAGAUACCCCAGUAGUCCCUGAGCGGGCUGGCAAGGCGCAU
Molecule: ribosomal RNA, 471 nt
Filed under: uncultured bacterium
Lineage: Bacteria
Description: bacterial SSU rRNA
Rfam family: Bacterial small subunit ribosomal RNA
Source: RNAcentral